GCAGGUGGCCAUGGUGCGUGGGACUCCUCGGACAGCGACAGCCUGUCUCCACGGCCUGGGAAUAGUGGUCUUCUCCACUCCCUAACAGACCCUCUGGAAACCUGAUAAGGAUUACAGGAUCCCAUAGAAGAGCACUGGACUUCAAAUGAACUGUUCUGUAAACCUAUCCCAACUAGCUGGAGACCCACUCCGGAGGAUGUGCAGGAGAUGCAAUGUGCUUCAUACUGCUUCAUGCAUGGAGCCAGCUAAGAUGGACCAUCUCUCAUGAAGAAGAGGCAUCAAGAAGAAGGGAGAGGGCAACCUGUUCAAAGCAGCAAAGCAGUGCUAGCUUUCUGCCUUGAUCUUUUAACGAAUUUAACAAGGCUGAAGAUCAGAAUUCAUAAAACAGAGCAAAUGUGACCUGAUCACUAGUGAGAACUAGAGAACUACUCCCCGACUUGAACACUGUAUUUCUCUUAAUACAACAAAAGAUUGAUUUUCUUUUUGUGGAAGUUACAUCACACUGUGUUGACUCAUCAUCUAUUCACAAUCAACAGAAGGCUCUAAAUCUUCCGACGUGAGCUAUUCCUUGGUGCUGCCCAGCCUCCAGAAGCAUGAGAGCCAGCCUUAUAGACUUAUCAGCACCUCUACACACCAGCAGGAGGUGUUGGAAAUAGUCUCUGAAAAUUCUACACCCAAGUGCCUGCAGGGACAGCUCUUCCCUGAAGAUUCUGAGAAGUCCUGCAUGAAGGCCUUUGUGAACCAGGUUACAUGCCCAUACAUGAAGUGGUCACUGGGGCCAAGGGGAUGAAAUUCACUCAUUGACUUAGUCUGGACCACAUGCGCUAUCUUCUGGUGAUAAAGGUGGAGUCAGCUUUCUCAAAACUACAUGGAUGUCCUACAGAAAGGGCAGCUGAGAAAGAGGGAUUCAUGUGAGAAGACAACUAAGGUUACAUAGACUCAGUAGAAGAAAUAAGACCACAGCUCCAAUUCUCCCCUGAAUUCAUUCUGGCAAAGUCUCUGUCUCCUGGCUACUUUGUUUUCUGGUUACUUAUUUGGACCAUUCCUGUCUUUUUUUUUUUUUUUUUAAAUCUAGAAGUCUUAUACCACUUUGCAAUGUCUUUUCCUGGUUUGUGACCUGAGACCUAUAUCUUGACCUAAAUAUCUUCUUAGAGGAGCCCUCCAAGGGCUAACUAUAGCUAACUAAGUUGGACUUUGGAGAACUGGGGCUUUAUGUCGACUACAGCAGUGAUUCAGAAGAGGCAGGACACAAUAGUACUCAUGUGCUGUGUGCCAGGCACAGUUCAAAAUGUCCUGCCCAGGGCAAGCCAUUAUCUGACCCCAUGAAUGGGAUUAGUGCCCUUAUAAGGAGAGAUGAUCUCUCUCUCUCUAUGUGUGGAUACAAGAAGGUGCUCAUCUGCAUCAGAUACCAAAUCUGCUGGCACCUUGAGCUUGGACUUACUAGCCUUCAGAACAGAGAAGUAAAUGUUUUUUGUACAAGUCACCCAGUCUAUGGUAUUGGUUAUAGCAGCUCCAACUGACAAAGACAUCAUCCUCCCUGCCUCUGUGACAUAUCUGUACAGUGACUUGGCUUCUGUGGGCCCAGAGAAGUCUCUUUUUACCCUUUCUUAGAGGUUUUGACCACAGUUAUCCUCUCUUGUCUCAGUCCUGUCUCUAGUACUUGCUGUUCUUCUAUUCUUCAACUCCUUGUAUGGUACACCAUCACUUACUGUUUUUAGAGCCUUCCCCACAAAACACUACCACGUUAAAUACAUCUAUUGAAGACACUUUCUGAUUUUAGAAUUAUUAAAAAUGUGUGGGAAAAGCCUUGUACCUUAGCAUCUAGUAAAUGCUAUAAUUGAAUGAUUUUGGUUUUUAGCUACCUAUUAACAUCAGACAGUCUGCCCCAUUCAGUAGUUGGGUUGUGCUAUCCCUUCUUUAUUAUUAUUCUUACUAUAUCCAUAAGCAAAAAACAAACAAAAAUUGUCUUCAGUACUUUUCCCAGAGUCUAGUUUUCUCUGGACUUUAAGUCCUCUGGCAUUAUUUUCACAGG
This is a non-coding RNA of Delphinapterus leucas (beluga whale), 2032 nucleotides long. The record is from RefSeq and is a predicted model, not a curated record. Lineage: Eukaryota; Metazoa; Chordata; Mammalia; Artiodactyla; Monodontidae.